Molecule: long non-coding RNA, 347 nt
Filed under: Nicotiana benthamiana
Lineage: Eukaryota; Viridiplantae; Streptophyta; Magnoliopsida; Solanales; Solanaceae
Description: long non-coding RNA (NBEN_LNC016385)
Source: RNAcentral
AUGAUUUAGCAUGAGGGAGGCGAGUAGGUCACGUGGUAUGAAUUUGGAGUCGAAUGGACAAACUUGUGUCUUCGCCAAAAAUUUCGAUUUAACUUUCGAAGCGUUUGGGUGAUAUUUGAAAGCCAACGAUUGCAGAUUUGGAAUGAAGAGAUGGAGGAGACUCGGGGUGUUUUUGGUGAAGUUUGGCGGUGGCGCCUAGGGUUUCCAAGAUUUGGGAAUUUUGACAGGGAUUUGGAGUAUUUCAAGUGUAGAUAUGGAAAGAGGAAGGAGUGAAUGGUACGUGGUGUGAUUUUUGGGUCAUUCUGUGGUUGGUCGCCGCCGUGGACGAUACAGGGUUUAUGCCUGGG